Molecule: ribosomal RNA, 377 nt
Filed under: uncultured eukaryote
Lineage: Eukaryota
Description: SSU rRNA
Rfam family: Eukaryotic small subunit ribosomal RNA
Source: RNAcentral
AGCUCCAAUAGCGUAUAUUUAAGUUGUUGCAGUUAAAAAGCUCGUAGUUGGAUUUCGGGUGGGGUGGUGCGGUCCGCCUCUGGUGUGCACUGCUCUGCUCCACCUUCCUGCCGGGGACGGGCUCCUGGGCUUCACUGUCUGGGACUCGGAGUCGGCGAGGUUACUUUGAGUAAAUUAGAGUGUUCAAAGCAGGCCUACGCUCUGAAUACAUUAGCAUGGAAUAACACGAUAGGACUCUGGCCUAUCUGUUGGUCUGUGGGACCGGAGUAAUGAUUAAGAGGGGUAGUCGGGGGCAUUCGUAUUCCGUUGUCAGAGGUGAAAUUCUUGGAUUUACGGAAGACGAACAUCUGCGAAAGCAUUUGCCAAGGAUACUUUCA